AUUGAACGCUGGCGGCAUGCUUUACACAUGCAAGUCGAACGGCAGCAUGGGCUUCGGCCUGAUGGCGAGUGGCGGACGGGUGAGUAAUGCAUCGGAACGUACCCAGUCAUGGGGGAUAACUACGCGAAAGCGUGGCUAAUACCGCAUACGCCCUGAGGGGGAAAGCGGGGGAUCUUUCGGGACCUCGCGUGAUUGGAGCGGCUGAUGUCGGAUUAGCUAGUUGGUGGGGUAAAGGCUCACCAAGGCGACGAUCCGUAGCUGGUCUGAGAGGAUGAUCAGCCACACUGGGACUGAGACACGGCCCAGACUCCUACGGGAGGCAGCAGUGGGGAAUUUUGGACAAUGGGGGCAACCCUGAUCCAGCCAUGCCGCGUGAGUGAAGAAGGCCUUCGGGUUGUAAAGCUCUUUCAGUUGGGAAGAAACGGGGUUCUCUAACAUAGGGCUCUAAUGACGGUACCGA
Molecule: ribosomal RNA, 460 nt
Filed under: uncultured bacterium
Lineage: Bacteria
Description: bacterial SSU rRNA
Rfam family: Bacterial small subunit ribosomal RNA
Source: RNAcentral